Vicia villosa (hairy vetch) is the source of this 1051-nucleotide long non-coding RNA. RefSeq lists it as uncharacterized. The transcript has 3 exons. Lineage: Eukaryota; Viridiplantae; Streptophyta; Magnoliopsida; Fabales; Fabaceae. The record is from RefSeq and is a predicted model, not a curated record.
UCAAUAUAUAUGUGCCAUAUAUUGUUGUUUUUUCUAUUUUCAAAAUCAUAACCAAAACUCUGGGUUUGAACAUGUGAAGGAACAAAUCAUGGAUGCAAUGACGGAAUAUAAAAUAGGAGAGAACAUGAUAGAAAAUUUUGAUGAUGAUGAUGAAUAUUAUUGGAAUAACCGAUAUGAAAGCGAAAGUGAACAUUUGGUAAUGGUUGGACAACAUGGAAUAUUUAAUAUUCCUUAUUGUACUACAUGCUCUACGUACUUAGAAGUUGCUGCGAAAGGAAAAUCAAGAACUUUCAAUAUCUUUGAUCCUAACUCCUAAGUUUAGGUUGGCAUAAGUUUCUUCUGAGUCUAGGGAGGUUGGUGCUGGAGAUUCAAUUGAUUGUCCCAAAAGAAUUGCUCUUAAUUACUUUAAGGGUUAUUUUUUCUUGGACUUAUUUGUUGUAUUACCUCUUCCUCAGAUAAUGAUAAUGUUUGUCCUACGAGCUUCCUUGGGGUCACAAGAUGAAAAGUAUAUUACUAAUUUUCUAUACCUAGCAAUCCUUGUACAACAUAUUCAUAAAUUAUGUUUGUCCUACCAGCUUUCUUGGGGUCACAAGAUGAAAAGUAUAUUACAAAUUUUCUAUACCUAGCAAUCCUUGUACAACAUAUUCAUAAAUUGUUCAAAUUUUUGCCUCUGCUACCAAAAUCAUAUUUGACUUAGCCUUGGAAUUUUUUUUUAUAAACAUUCUCUUUCAUUUUCUACGUGACCAUUUGUGGAUUCUAACUUGGGAAGGAACAUAUGUAUGAUGAAUGUGUCUUUUCUUAAAGCAUAUAAUGCAAUUCAUGUUAUGUUCAUGGGUGCUGUUAAUUUCCCACAACCAAUCGACUAUUUGUAAAAACCUAAUUGAGUGUAUAUAUAAUGUAAAAAUAAUUCAAGAAGUAAAACUUUUAAAUAAUACAAGACAAUGACACUUAAAAGAAUGCAUUGAUCAAAAACUAUUUUUUAUUGAAGCUUCCUUUCUAUCCCCUAUCUUUCACAUACAAAAGAAAAAGACAAAUCGACUUUUUAACAACA